AGGAAUCAAAGGAUGAUCCUGUAGAUUCUGAUGCUGAAGGUGAUGAUGAUGAAAUUGACAAAGAUGCUGAUAUUACAGAAGAGAGUGCACAUGAUGAGUUGUAGGGAGGGAGAGCACCGUUGUGGUUUUCUGCUGACAAUUCACUCUCUCGAGAUCUCUGAAUUUUUUUCUUGCUUAGUUUAUUUGUAGCUUUUAGUUUUGUUUG
This is a non-coding RNA of Camellia sinensis, 205 nucleotides long. The record is from RefSeq and is a predicted model, not a curated record. NCBI's taxonomy places the organism in Eukaryota, Viridiplantae, Streptophyta, Magnoliopsida, Ericales, Theaceae.